GAAACUCAAAGGAAUUGACGGGGACCCGCACAAGUAGCGGAGCAUGUGGUUUAAUUCGAAGCAACGCGAAGAACCUUACCUAAGCUUGACAUCCCAAUGACAUCUCCUUAAUCGGAGAGUUCCCUUCGGGGACAUUGGUGACAGGUGGUGCAUGGUUGUCGUCAGCUCGUGUCGUGAGAUGUUGGGUUAAGUCCCGCAACGAGCGCAACCCUUGUCUUUAGUUGCCAUCAUUAAGUUGGGCACUCUAGAGAGACUGCCAGGGAUAACCUGGAGGAAGGUGGGGAUGACGUCAAAUCAUCAUGCCCCUUAUGCUUAGGGCUACACACGUGCUACAAUGGGUAGUACAGAGGGUUGCCAAGCCGUAAGGUGGAGCUAAUCCCUUAAAGCUACUCUCAGUUCGGAUUGUAGGCUGAAACUCGCCUACAUGAAGCUGGAGUUACUAGUAAUCGCAGAUCAGAAUGCUGCGGUGAAUGCGUUCCCGGGUCUUGUACACACCGCCCGUCACACCACGGGAGUUGGAGACGCCCGAAGCCGAUUAUCUAACCU
RNAcentral lists this ribosomal RNA (546 nucleotides) under Clostridioides difficile. RNAcentral describes it as "bacterial SSU rRNA". It matches the Rfam family "Bacterial small subunit ribosomal RNA", at positions 896 to 1441 of the family's 1533-position model. The record is from RNAcentral. Lineage: Bacteria; Bacillati; Bacillota; Clostridia; Peptostreptococcales; Peptostreptococcaceae.